RNAcentral lists this ribosomal RNA (253 nucleotides) under uncultured bacterium. RNAcentral describes it as "partial 16S ribosomal RNA". It matches the Rfam family "Bacterial small subunit ribosomal RNA", at positions 524 to 776 of the family's 1533-position model. The record is from RNAcentral.
UACGUAGGGUGCAAGCGUUAUCCGGAAUCACUGGGCGUAAAGCGUGCGUAGGCGGCGUGUUAAGUGUGAUGUUAAAUCGUGGGGCUUAACCUGGGAAUGGCAUUGGUGACUGCACGGCUAGAGUGUGUCAGAGGGGGGUAGAAUUCCACGUGUAGCAGUGAAAUGCGUAGAGAUGUGGAGGAAUACCGAUGGCGAAGGCAGCCCCCUGGGAUAACACUGACGCUCAUGCACGAAAGCGUGGGGAGCAAACAGG